CCUACGGGAGGCAGCAGUGAGGAAUAUUGGUCAAUGGGCGUAAGCCUGAACCAGCCAAGCCGCGUGAGGGAUGAAGGCUCUAUGGAUCGUAAACCUCUUUUAUAAGGGAAUAAAGUGUGGGACGUGUCCUAUUUUGUAUGUACCUUAUGAAUAAGGAUCGGCUACAUCCGUGCCAGCAGCCGCGCUACUACGGAGGAGCCGAGAGUGAUCCGGAUUUAUUGGGUUUAAAGGGUGCGUAGGCGGCCUUUUAAGUCAGCGGUGAAAGUCUGUGGCUCAACCGUAGAAUUGCCGUUGAAACUGGCGGGCUUGAGUAUGGUUGAGGCAGGUGGAAUUCGUGGUGUAGCGGUGAAAUGCUUAGAUAUCACGAAGAACUCCGAUUGCGAAGGCAGCUUACUAAACUGCCACUGACAUUGAUGCUCGAAAGUGUGGGUAUCAAACAGGAUUAGAUACCCCAGUAGUC
RNAcentral lists this ribosomal RNA (460 nucleotides) under uncultured bacterium. RNAcentral describes it as "partial 16S ribosomal RNA". It matches the Rfam family "Bacterial small subunit ribosomal RNA", at positions 338 to 795 of the family's 1533-position model. The record is from RNAcentral.